CGAGCACGCGCGUGUGGCAUAUCAAUAAGCGGAGGAAAAGAAACUAACAAGGAUUCCCUUAGUAACGGCGAGUGAAGCGGGAAGAGCUCAAAUUUGAAAUCUUCAAGGUUCUACCUUGACGAAUUGUAGUUUAUAGAAGUGUUUUCUGUUAGUGGAGUGGCAAAAGUUCUUUGGAAUAGGACAUCAUAGAGGGUGAGAAUCCCGUAUUUGGUCAUUCAUUCUAGCGUUGUGAUACACUUUCAAAGAGUCGGAUUGUUUGGGAAUGCAGUCCAAAAUGGGUGGUAAAUUUCAUCUAAAGCUAAAUAUUGGCGAGAGGACCGAUAGCGAACAAGUACCGUGAGGGAAAGAUGAAAAGAACUUUGAAAAGAGAGUUAAACAGUACGUGAAAUUGUCAAAAGGGAAGCGUUUGACACCAGUGUUGUUUUUCCGAAAAUCAAUUACGAAUGUUUUGUUUUUAAGAAGUUAUGACUUCAUCGGCUUGCUUCUUUCUUUAUGAAACUUUCUUAAUGCACUUUUCGGUUAACAAGUCAACAUCAAUUUCUUUUGUUGUAAAAGGGUAUGAGGAAGGUGGCUUUCUUUUCGGAGAAAGUGUUUAUAGCCUUGUGCCUCUACAAUCGGAGAGAUUGAGGUCUGCAGCGUAGAUCCUUCGGGGUUAGAUACGUUUGUGCUAAGUUAUAGCUUUUCAUAGACAACUUGUUGACUAUGUUUAGUCUUGUAGCUUACUCGCUUACGCUAUUUUACCUACGCUUAGGAUGUUGAGUAGCGACAUACGCAC
RNAcentral lists this ribosomal RNA (775 nucleotides) under uncultured Neocallimastigales. RNAcentral describes it as "partial large subunit ribosomal RNA". It matches the Rfam family "Eukaryotic large subunit ribosomal RNA", at positions 19 to 649 of the family's 3401-position model. The record is from RNAcentral. Lineage: Eukaryota; Fungi; Neocallimastigomycota; Neocallimastigomycetes; Neocallimastigales.